AUAGGCUUUGAAGGAUUUACUUAUGUAAUCAUGUAAUCAAGUACAAGGGAAAAAAUUAUUUUACUUGGAAAUGUUCAACAAAUAAUACUAUUAUAAACUGUCCUGGAAUCCUAAGAACUAGUAUUCUAAAAACUGACCCUUCUGUGACAACAAAACAUAAUCAUACUGCAAGUGAAUCUGAUGCCAACGCUGUAAUGUACAGUGUCACCGAUGAUUAAUAAUCAUAAUU
This is a non-coding RNA of Cinara cedri, 229 nucleotides long. NCBI's taxonomy places the organism in Eukaryota, Metazoa, Arthropoda, Insecta, Hemiptera, Aphididae. The record is from the annotation of a GenBank genome assembly.